Fukomys damarensis (Damara mole-rat) is the source of this 1180-nucleotide long non-coding RNA. RefSeq lists it as uncharacterized. The transcript has 4 exons. NCBI's taxonomy places the organism in Eukaryota, Metazoa, Chordata, Mammalia, Rodentia, Bathyergidae. The record is from RefSeq and is a predicted model, not a curated record.
AACUCAGAGCCUUGUGUCUGCAAAGGAGAGGUGGCACCACUGAGCUGAAGUCCUAUCUUCUUCCAUUGGUUUGUAUGACUUCAUUCCUUGGCGUUUGCAGAACCAGAGCCCAGUACACAUGAUGUCAGUAUGAGAGUGCAGUACUACUGUGUUUUGUUUGGAGAAAAGCAAACUUGUUCUCUAAACAGCCUGGAGCUUAACCUUUGAUGUGCAGCUUGGUAGAGCAAAGCAAAACAAGAGGGCUCUUGGGACCAGCAAAAGCAACAGGGUCCUAUCUCUUACUCCAUUCUUAGCUUCUAAGAAGGGGAACUGAACAAUGACUUCUUUAACUGAAGCAAGUCCCGCGAGGAGUUUGAAAGAUUCAGGCUGAAGAAACUUUUUAUGUCUGCAUUUAUUUUCACUAAGUUAUUCUGAAUGAAAACAGAAGUAGUGAAUGUGACAGAAGAUAAAAUCUAUUCAUUGGGCCAUUUCAACUUUUCUGCACAUCUGAAUAUCUUCCAAAUGUAAAACUGAAGGGAAAUAUGCGGGUAUGAUAAAAAGUACAAAUGAUGACUGCUACUGAGUGCCACAAUGGAAAGCAGAGAUCCUCAAUAUGAAAAGCCUGGUAACAGUAUGCACAAGUUUGUUCAGGGCAGUCAGCUGUGAGGUAGAGUUAGAAGGUACGUUUUAAAGUGUGCCGAAAACCAUGGGUACCAAACAAUGCAUUUCAUCACAUUUACACAAUCAUGCCAUUUCAGAUUCCAGCUUUUUCUCUGUAGUUUUUGUUUUGUUUUGUUUUGUUCUUUGGUACCGGGGAUCAAACUUGGGUCCUUGUGCUUGUGAGGCAGAUGGUGGCACCAACUGAGCUAAAUCCCCGGCCGAGAUUUCAGCUUUUAAAGGAAAGUCAUCAUGAGAGAUGAAAGAGACCAAUGGAAAUCACAGGGAAAAAAUGCACUAAUCAAGACCACAGGAAGGUGAUGCUAGUUGCAAUUUUUUGACCUUGCUGGAAUUAUCCAGGCUGUUUGUACCCAGAAACACUAUGGUGAACUCCAAAUAUCGUGAGGGCUUCUUAGAGCAUUUAAGAAAUAAUGUGUGUAAAAAAGUCUUUAAAAAUUGGCAAAUGGUUGCAUCGCUUCUGGUAUGGUAAUUUCUGAAAAAUAAAGACAUUACAGUGUGUUCUUUUCCACCUUAUUCACUGGAU